GCGAAAACUUUACAAUGCUGGCAACAGCGAUAAGGGAACCUCGAGUGCCAGGUUACAAAUCUGGCUGUCGAGAUGCCUAAAAAGCAUUUCAUAGCAGGGGCCGGGCAAGACCGGUGCCAGCCGCCGCGGUAACACCAGCGGCUCGAGUGGUAACCGUUAUUAUUGGGUCUAAAGGGUCUGUAGCCGGCCGGAUAAGUCUCUUGAGAAAUCUGGCAGCUUAACUGUCAGGCUUUCAGGAGAUACUGUCUGGCUCGAGGCCGGGAGAGGUGAGAGGUACUUCAGGGGUAGGGGUGAAAUCUUGUAAUCCUUGAAGGACCACCAGUGGCGAAGGCGUCUCACCAGAACGGACCUGACGGCAAGGGACGAAAGCUAGGGGCACGAACC
This 384-nucleotide ribosomal RNA is filed under the name uncultured prokaryote. Its description in RNAcentral is "bacterial SSU rRNA". It matches the Rfam family "Archaeal small subunit ribosomal RNA", at positions 341 to 725 of the family's 1478-position model. The record is from RNAcentral.